CCUACGGGUGGCAGCAGUGGGGAAUAUUGGACAAUGGGGGGAACCCUGAUCCAGCCAUGCCGCGUGUGUGAAGAAGGCCCUCGGGUUGUAAAGCACUUUCAGUGAGGAAGAACGCCUGGUGGUUAAUACCCAUCAGGAAAGACAUCACUCACAGAAGAAGCACCGGCUAACUCCGUGCCAGCAGCCGCGGUAAUACGGAGGGUGCGAGCGUUAAUCGGAAUUACUGGGCGUAAAGCGCGCGUAGGUGGCUUGAUAAGCCGGUUGUGAAAGCCCCGGGCUCAACCUGGGAACGGCAUCCGGACCUGUCAAGCUAGAGUGCAGGAGAGGAAGGUAGAAUUCCCGGUGUAGCGGUGAAAUGCGUAGAGAUCGGGAGGAAUACCAGUGGCGAAGGCGGCCUUCUGGACUGACACUGACACUGAGGUGCGAAAGCGUGGGUAGCAAACAGGAUUAGAUACCCUAGUAGUC
Molecule: ribosomal RNA, 465 nt
Filed under: Vreelandella stevensii
Lineage: Bacteria; Pseudomonadati; Pseudomonadota; Gammaproteobacteria; Oceanospirillales; Halomonadaceae
Description: partial 16S ribosomal RNA
Rfam family: Bacterial small subunit ribosomal RNA
Source: RNAcentral